UACGAAGGGGGCUAGCGUUGCUCGGAAUCACUGGGCGUAAAGAGCGUGUAGGCGGCCAGAUAGGUCCGUUGUGAAAACUCGAGGCUCAACCUCGAGACGCCGAUGGAAACCAUCUGGCUAGAGUCCGGAAGAGGAGAGUGGAAUUCCUGGUGUAGCGGUGAAAUGCGCAGAUAUCAGGAAGAACACCCGUGGCUAGGCGGCUCUCUAGUACGGUACUGACGCUGAGACGCGAAAGCGUGGGGAGCGAACAGG
This 252-nucleotide ribosomal RNA is filed under the name uncultured bacterium. RNAcentral describes it as "partial 16S ribosomal RNA". It matches the Rfam family "Bacterial small subunit ribosomal RNA", at positions 524 to 776 of the family's 1533-position model. The record is from RNAcentral.